AAACACGUUUAUCAAGUCAAUAUUCUUACUUGUAGGGUGUCCAUGAUUUGACACAUAGAAUCGAGUUAUGCACUUUCCUAUGUUCUUCUUCUUCCGGCAUUUAGUUUUGAAAAGAGUCCUUUUUUUUUCUGUUGUGAAUGUGAAUGUGUCGUGUGUGAUCUAUUUUUGAGAUGACUUGCUUGUUUUGUAGCUUUGUCCUGAUGAUAACUAUUCUGAAAAUUCUUGUUCAUAGGUUUUGCAAAAGGCUUUAGAAGUAUGGGAUUACCAUAAUAAUCCCCUCAACUGCCCACUUGCUGAGCCAGCCCAAAUUGACCCUGAGCUGGAAAAUGCUUUCAUUUGUCAUCUGCAUGACCAUUGGUUUUGUAUCAGGAAAGUGAAUGGAGAAUGGUAGAAUUUCAACAGUCUUUAUACAGCCCCAGAGCACUUCUCUAAGUUUUAUCUCUCAGCCUAUCUGGACUCAUUAAAAGGAGCUGGCUGGAGCGUUUUCCUGGUACACUCUCCCCAGGACGGUAUAGGUGCAUGGAAGGAUUAAUGAAGGUGUGCUGAUCCUUGGUGUCUCCCAAGUAACUAUUCAGCUGAGCUCUUCAACUCUCCAAGAUGGCCAAUUAGCUGCCCAAGGCAAAUUAAAAGGUUUCACACCAGCCGAUUAUUCCUUUCACACCAAAGGCUAUUCGGUUUUGCUUGUUCACACUCAAGUGACCAUUCUACUUAGCUUGUUCAUACUUCAUGACCCGUGAUGUGCCCUAAGCAGCUCAUAAACUCCCAAGAACAUUCGGCUGAACCAAGCAGCAGAAUUAAGGUCAUUCAAGCAACUUGGCCGAUCCGAUUCCAUGCAUUUCAGCUCCAAAUUAUUCCAUUUUAUUUUCCAGCUGAAUUAAGGCAUCUAGAAGCUGUCCAUUGCGGUUCUCCAUGCACAAGAAACUUCAAGGAAACUUCCUAAGGAAUUCUGGAAUUUUUAGCUAACUAUUUAGUUACCUUAAGAGCCUAUUCGGCUAGCCUAUGUAUUGCCUAUAAAUUUCGGCUCAUUUCAGCUUGUAAAGGAAUUUUGUCAAAUUAAUAUAUGAAACUUUGUUUCUGUGAGGUUAA
Gossypium arboreum is the source of this 1086-nucleotide long non-coding RNA. RefSeq lists it as uncharacterized. The transcript is spliced from 2 exons. Lineage: Eukaryota; Viridiplantae; Streptophyta; Magnoliopsida; Malvales; Malvaceae. The record is from RefSeq and is a predicted model, not a curated record.